CUCCCCCCCCCCCCCCCCCCCCUGCCUAUGGCCGUAGUCCGCGAGCGCCGCCAACUCAACCUCCGCCUCCCUCUUCCCGAACUCUCCGAGCGCCGCCCUCGCUUUCCGUUGCCACUCCCUCCAAGUAUCACCACUUCUACCAACACCACCGCCUUCUCUAUGAUCUCUUGUAAUGAUCUCGAAAAGCUCCAAGUUUUAGGCCACGGUAAUGGUGGUACUGUCUAUAAAGUACGUCAUAAGAAGACUUCCCAAGUUUAUGCCCUUAAAGUUG
This 271-nucleotide unclassified non-coding RNA is filed under the name Hevea brasiliensis (rubber tree). Lineage: Eukaryota; Viridiplantae; Streptophyta; Magnoliopsida; Malpighiales; Euphorbiaceae. The record is from RNAcentral.